This 274-nucleotide unclassified non-coding RNA is filed under the name Rhodonia sp. RNAcentral describes it as "partial contains 5.8S ribosomal RNA, internal transcribed spacer 2, and large subunit ribosomal RNA". The stretch from base 1 to 52 matches the Rfam family "5.8S ribosomal RNA", at positions 103 to 154 of the family's 154-position model. Lineage: Eukaryota; Fungi; Basidiomycota; Agaricomycetes; Polyporales; Adustoporiaceae. The record is from RNAcentral.
AACGCAUCUUGCGCUCCUUGGUAUUCCGAGGAGCAUGCCUGUUUGAGUGUCAUGUUAUCUCUCAACCCUUGGGUUGGACUAUGGACGUCUGCGGGAGCCUGCCUUCCGCUCGUCUCAAAUGCAUUAGCAGGUGCCUCGCUCCUUGCUGGCGUUUAGUAAUGCUUGCGCCGCGCGAGGUCGCGAACAGUGCCCUUCUGCUUACCAGCCGGCGCCCCGAGUGCCAAUUUAUUGACCUUCUGGCCUCAAAUCAGGUAGGACUACCCGCUGAACUUAA